This 1103-nucleotide long non-coding RNA is filed under the name Oryctolagus cuniculus (rabbit). RNAcentral's name for it is "lncRNA (ENSOCUG00000035169.1)". Lineage: Eukaryota; Metazoa; Chordata; Mammalia; Lagomorpha; Leporidae. The record is from RNAcentral.
AUGAUAUCAAAAUCAUCCGAAGUGAACCGUGCUGAGGGCCGUGUCCAGAAGAGAAGGGGGAGGCACCACCUUCCCUGCCCACCAGAUGGACUUCAGUCCCCAGGGGACAGCAUGUGCUCAGGGAGGGCGAGAGUCCACGUGCCCAUGGUCCUUCCCAGAGCUUCAGGCCGACCUGUGUGCAGUCUCUGUGAAUUUCACUCCGUAACCUCCCACUUUCUUUUUUCGUUUUCUUUUUCUUUUUUUUUUUUUUUUUGACAGGCAGAGUGGACAGUGACAGUGAGAGAGAGACAGAGAGAGAAAGGUCUUCCUUUGCCGUUGUUUCACCCUCCAAUGGCCACCACGGCUGGUGCGCUGCGGCCGGCACACCACGCUGAUCUGAAGGCAGGAGCCAGGUGCUUCUCCUGGUCUCCCAUGGGGUGCAGGGCCCAAGCACUUGGGCCAUCCUCCACUGCACUCCCUGGCCACAGCAGAGAGCUGGCCUGGAAGAGGGGCAACUGGGACAGAAUCUGGUGCCCCGACCGGGACUAGAACCCAGUGUGCCGGCGCCGCAAGGCGGAGGAUUAGCCUAGUGAGCCGUGGCGCCGGCUUCCCUCCCACUUUCUUUCCUGCUCCUGAGCACCCCCACCCCCCACUGCCUCCUCACACGGUUGUCCAGCAUUCAGGUCAGAGGAAAGCAAUUCCUGUCCAUUUCGGGUGGUUACAAGGGUGUCAGUGGCCAUCGGCACCAUCGUCCAGCUCCAGCCCCAGUGUCUAUUUGGGAUGGUCGCUGUGAACUUCACGAUGGGGUUGGGAUGGGGUGAGAGUCCCCCAAAAGAUCACAGGCUAGAAGGUUGUUGUCCAGUGUGGCAGUGUUGAGGGGUGAUGGGCCCUUUAAGAGGUGGGGAUUAGGGGGAGGUAAUGAGGGCCUGGGACUAUGGCCAGGAUUAAUGCAGGUGUGAGAAUGAGUUAAUUCCCCCAGAGUUGAGAGUUAGAAAGUGCUUGGCACCUUCUGCACAUGAAAGGUUCUUUUUCAUAUUUUAUUACGUAUUAUAUUAUAUUUUAAAAGUACAGUGAUAGGACGAGAGGGAGAGAGAGAGAGAGGAGCUUCCAUCUACUGGUUCACU